ACGAACGCUGGCGGCGUGCUUAACACAUGCCAGUCGAACGGAAAGGCCCUGCUUGCAGGGUCCUCGAGUGGCGAACGGGUGAGUAACACGUGGGUGAUCUGCCCUGCACUUCGGGAUAAGCCUGGGAAACUGGGUCUAAUACCGGAUAGGAGCCAUUUUUAGUGUGAUGGUUGGAAAGUUUUUUCGGUGUAGGAUGAGCUCGCGGCCUAUCAGCUUGUUGGUGGGGUAAUGGCCUACCAAGGCGGCGACGGGUAGCCGGCCUGAGAGGGUGGACGGCCACAUUGGGACUGAGAUACGGCCCAGACUCCUACGGGAGGCAGCAGUGGGGAAUAUUGCACAAUGGGCGCAAGCCUGAUGCAGCGACGCCGCGUGGGGGAUGACGGCCUUCGGGUUGUAAACUCCUUUCGCUAGGGACGAAGCUUUUUGUGGCGGUACCUAGAUAAGAAGCACCGGCUAACUACGUG
RNAcentral lists this ribosomal RNA (464 nucleotides) under uncultured bacterium. RNAcentral's name for it is "partial 16S ribosomal RNA". It matches the Rfam family "Bacterial small subunit ribosomal RNA", at positions 29 to 507 of the family's 1533-position model. The record is from RNAcentral.